AAGGGGCAGGCCUGGCCACAACCUGGAGUGAGCAGAGGGAGGUUCUAGGAUCUUCUCCAUCUCAAACAUGGCCACUGGGGAGCUUCAGUUCAAGGUACAAUAUCCAGGUGCCCAUCAGGAAGAUCGGUAGCCCAAUGUGACUAUCUUCUAUCAAGUGGGAGAUCUGGGCCCUGCUGGGUACGGAGGAGGAGAAAGCAGCCGUGGUUGCAGAAUCUCACAGGGAAGAUACUCAUGUCCUUGAUGCCCUCUGAAGUCUCUCACCACAGAAGAUGAAGGCAGAAAGAACUUUCUAAGUGAAAAGGACCACAGGGGCUCUCAUGUCUUCCAGAACCAUAUGGGUAUGAGCAAGGGGGGACCAGGAGAGAGGCUUCGGGCCACCAAGCAAGAGGAGGCUGCCCGUGGACGUGACUGAUUCCC
Long non-coding RNA from Lontra canadensis (Northern American river otter), 417 nucleotides. RefSeq lists it as uncharacterized. The record is from RefSeq and is a predicted model, not a curated record. The transcript is spliced from 3 exons. Lineage: Eukaryota; Metazoa; Chordata; Mammalia; Carnivora; Mustelidae.